GUUGCUGAUAAAUACGUAAGAUUCUUAAUCCGUGGGAAAUUAGGCCGUACAGUGCCUGUGAUUUUAGACAUGGAAUUAGUUCAAUGUAUUGAACUAAUUUUGAAGCAUCGAAAGGAUGCAUAUGUUCCUGAAAAAAUCCAUAUGUGUUCGGCAUACCUAAUAACAACAAACGCUAUUUUAAAUAUUUAAGAGCAUGUGUUCUUAUGCGAUAUUUUUCUAAAAAAAUGUAAUGCACAAUUACCACAUGUAUUAAGAGGCACUGAAUUACGCAAACACAUUGCUAUAACAUGCAUUACAUUAAAUUUAUCUGAAAAUGAAGUGGAUGAUUUGGCAAACUUUAUGGGACAUCAUGAAAAAAUUCAUAAACGCCACUACCGGCAGUCAAUACCAGCAUUAGAGAUUAUUCGUAUGACAAAGUUUCUUGAGGCAGCGUUAGGUGAAAAUGUGCAACAGCAAUCCAAUAGCGAUUCAGGUAGCGUUCAUAGCGCAGCUAAUAAAAAUUACGAUCUGUAAUAUGACCUGUGAUAAGAGAGGAUGAUGUAUAUCGCGUAAUAAAAUAUGACAAGCUUAUUAUUUUAUAUGGUAACAAAUUAUCUAUUAAAUAUAAACUGCAACACCAACACGACAUGAUUCGCGCGCAUUUAAGACUGUUGGGCCGUUUUCUAUUAACUAUUAAAGAAAUUAAUAAAAAUAUAAUUGAUUUCGAAUCUAUAUAUCAUCCAAAAUUUUAUGAAGAUGUUAUUAUCACAGUUAACAAAGUAGCGGGUUUAAAUAAUGAAGUAGGAAUUUAUUCUAAACCUACUACAGCAGCUAUGUUAGGAACAUUAAUAAAAAAAUUGGUCAUAUACUUAUUACGGAAUGUAUAAAAUGUCAAAAUGAUGAAAAAAAAGGUUUAGUUAAAGAUUUUCUAGAAUUAUUAACAGAAGAUUACGGAACUAGUGUAAACAAAACAGUUGUGGAAACACGCUUACAACAUCAAAGACAAAAAAGUGAUGAUCUUCCAUCAUUGGCUGACAUAGCUAAAUUGUACAUGCAUUUAAAAUGUAAACGACAGAAAGCAUUUGAGGAUUUAAUGAAUGAAUACACAUAUGAAACUUGGUUGGUGUUGGCAGAAUGUACGUUAACCUCAGUUCAAUUAUUCAAUCGUAAACGAGCUGGUGAAAUUGAACGCAUAUUAAUCGCAGAUUUUGAACAAUACAGAGGUAUUGAUUCAGCCACAAUGAAUGAUCUCUUUAAAAAUAUUUCAUUGAAGGCACAAGAAGCAGCAAAAAAAUAUGUGCGUUUUGUGAUUAGAGGCAAACUUGGUCGCACAGUACCUGUGAUAUUAAACACUGAUUUGUUAGAAUGUGUAAAAUUAAUACUGCACUUUCGCGAAAAGGCUAAAGUUCUUGCAGAAAAUCCAUAUAUCUUUGGUCUUCCAAGUUAUAAUCGAAAACGGUUUAAAUAUUUGAGAGCUUGUGUUCUCAUGAAGAAAUUUUCUGAAGAGUGUAAUGCAAAAGUUGCACAUUUAUUACGUGGCACGAAGUUAAGAAAGCACAUUGCUACAUUUGUGCAAAUAUGGAGCUUGCUGACACUGAAAUAUCUGACCUUGCAAAUUUUAUGGGGCAUGCUGAAAAAAUCCAUAGAGAAGUGUAUAGACAACCCAUUAUUAGUCGUGAUAUUUUGAAUAUUACACAACAUUUAGAAGCAGCACAUGGAUGUGAUUCUCAAAGUUCUAGUGAAGAUAGUAGCAAUAAUGAAACAAAUAUCGGAAAAAAAAUAUAGAAAUAGCUAUAAAUGAAGAAAUAAGUGAUGAUAGCUCAUUUGUUAAUACAUCUACAUCAGGAAUUGUCGAUACAUCUACAGCAAAGAUUACAGAUGGUUCAAGAACUAAAAAGCGUUCUUGUUCUCCAUACGGUCCCACAAAGCGAAAACGAUGGACUGAAGAUG
Non-coding RNA from Nylanderia fulva, 1929 nucleotides. Lineage: Eukaryota; Metazoa; Arthropoda; Insecta; Hymenoptera; Formicidae. The record is from RefSeq and is a predicted model, not a curated record.